GAUGAACGCUGGCGGCGUGCCUAAUACAUGCAAGUCGAGCGAACAGACGAGGAGCUUGCUCCUCUGACGUGAGCGGCGGACGGGUGAGUAACACGUGGAUAACCUACCUAUAAGACUGGGAUAACUUGGGGAAACCGGAGAUAAUACCGGAGAAGAUAUUGAACCGCAUGGUUCAAUAGUGAAAGACGGCUGUGCUGGCACGUAUAGAUGGAUCCGCGCCGCAUGAGCUGGUUGUGAAGGUAACGGCCUACCAAGGCAACUAGGCGUAGCCGACCUGUGAGGGGGGUCGCCGACCUGAGAACGUGGACAGGCUCCAUGCUCCUGCGGGAGGCCGCAGUAGGCAAUCUUCGGCAAUAGUCGGAAACAUGACGGAGCGGGGGCGCGUGAGUUACGAAGGUCUUCCGAUCGUAAAGCUCGCUUAUUAGGGAUGAACAAAUGUGUAAGUAGCUAUGCACGUAUUGACGGUAACGGAUCAGAAAGCACCGGCUAACUACGUG
RNAcentral lists this ribosomal RNA (497 nucleotides) under uncultured bacterium. RNAcentral describes it as "partial 16S ribosomal RNA". It matches the Rfam family "Bacterial small subunit ribosomal RNA", at positions 28 to 507 of the family's 1533-position model. The record is from RNAcentral.